UUCGCAAUGCCCGAAAGGGUGACGAUGCGACGCCGCGUGAGCGAAGAAGGCCCUAGGGUUGUAAAGCUCUGUCGAGGGUUAUGAAAUAUAGAUGGGUUAAUACCCCAUUUAUUUGACAAAAGCCCAAAAGGAAGCCACGGCUAACUCUGUGCCAGCAGCCGCGGUAAUACAGAGGUGGCGAGCGUUGCUCGGUAUUAUUGGGCGUAAAGAGCACGUAGGUGGUUUUGUAAGUCAGGUGUGAAAGCCUUCUGUUCAAAGGAAGAACGGCAUCUGAAACUGCAGAUCUUGAGUGUAGGAGGGGAGAGUGGAACUUCUGGUGGAGCGGUGAAAUGCGUAGAUAUCAGAAGGAACGUCGGCGGCGAAAGCGACUCUCUGGCCUAUUACUGACACUGAGGUGCGAAAGUUAGGGGAGCAAACGGGAUUAGAUACCCCGGUAGUCCUAACCGUAAACGAUGGGCACUAAGUAGAGGGGUUUU
Molecule: ribosomal RNA, 476 nt
Filed under: uncultured anaerobic ammonium-oxidizing bacterium
Lineage: Bacteria
Description: bacterial SSU rRNA
Rfam family: Bacterial small subunit ribosomal RNA
Source: RNAcentral